Long non-coding RNA from Myotis brandtii (Brandt's bat), 1576 nucleotides. RefSeq lists it as uncharacterized. The record is from RefSeq and is a predicted model, not a curated record. Lineage: Eukaryota; Metazoa; Chordata; Mammalia; Chiroptera; Vespertilionidae. The transcript is spliced from 2 exons.
GCCGUCAUCUCCGCGCAGCUCGGCCCGGGAGGGACUCGAAAGGUGCGGUCCUUCUAGCUCUGGGGCUGCCAUCCGGGAGCGUGUUCUCCUUCCAACCAAUUGAACGCUGACUUGGCCUUUGUCACCUUUUCUUCACCAAACUCCACAACUGAUGCUGAACUCUGGCUGUGGCCCCCAAGGGGCCGAUGAGGGCAGAGGCUUCUAGCAGCCACAGUGUCCCCACCCCCCAAGGAACGGCUGAUGCUGUGUCAUCCACUUCGCCCUCCGAGGCAUCAGGGAAGCCACAUGCAAUAUCUCUUUCUCUCAGAGGGCUCCUGUUUCAACUCUGAAAAGCAGGGGCCUCCUCUGAGCCGCUCUCCAUCUCUACAGUUCCCACCACCGAGCUUCGCCCCGGCUGCUGCAGCCCAAGUUAUCACAGAGCCUAGAGAAACCAGGCCUGGGCUGUGCUUCCUCCAUAAAGCAGCUGACAUGUUUCCAACUGUUAAUACUUUUCCUACCGAGGUUCUGAAAGGGCCUGUUCUCAGCCUUUGGAAACAACUUCAGACAGAUAACCGGGUAACUGGUUGUGGAAAAUAUAUGCCUCUUAACUAGUUGCAGACAAUACUACUGUAGAAUUACUUGAGACUAGUUAGGCGAGAUGGUGUUAUACAUACAGAAAGCUUGCUACUUUACUUACUACUGACUCCACCACAGCAGCUCCUCUGAGGACACCUGCACACCAUACAAAGUUUUAAGCCCAAUCAUGCACCUUUCAUUUGCAGCCUUAAGUGGAACUCUAGUUUUCAGGGCUACAGGCAGAAGUGUCUGUCUAGGCCUGGACUAAAUAGAUGGGUUUUGGCCAAGAUAGAACUCUCUAGAACCAAGCAAAAGUAGUUGGACCAUUACCUCUGACUUGAGAUAAGAAGGCUAAGCCACUGCCCGAGAGGGAACUGAUUCAGCUGGCUGUUUCUCUAACGUCCAGAUUCAUCAAAAUUAAGUUUUCAGAACCUGUUAUGUUUCCCAUGGUCUACUGUUUACUGAGGAAAACUCUACCCAAAGAAGUUUUAGCACUUGCAUUUUUCUUACGUCUCUCCCUACCCCCAGCCCAUGUACCCAAGUGUACUAUCAAAUGCUUUUUUGAAGACAGGCCAGCCUAGGAGGAGGCAAGUCUUUAAACAAGAGUAAUAGUUCACACAGUCACCACAGAAUUGGUGUCUGGAGCUUCCAAGUUGUAACGUGUUCCAAAGAGAAGGCAAAGGAAAGGCCAUGUGGGAAAUGCUAUUUUAUUCAUUUGCCCUGUCUUGGAUUCAGGAAUUAGCCUUUCCUAGUUUCCCCAUUCAUUGGUGGUGUUUGAGUAGGGACAACAUCAAAAGUUGGAAUUCUAGUUGGAAUUUAGCUUAUUCUGUAAAAUACAUUCAAACCUACAAAGCUACAUGAAUUUUCAUAACAAAUCGCCACCUUUAUAAUGUCACAUAGAUAACACUAGCAACUAAAAAAAGAGAAAACAAUAUUAAAAAAACUUACAAAUUGAAUUAUAAUCAUUCUGGACCCUGUGCUAAUCUUUUCUAGCUAGUUAAUAAACUUGCAAGUCAAAUGA